This 74-nucleotide transfer RNA is filed under the name Marmota monax (woodchuck). RNAcentral describes it as "tRNA.Ala". Lineage: Eukaryota; Metazoa; Chordata; Mammalia; Rodentia; Sciuridae. The record is from RNAcentral.
GUUUUUAUAGCUCAGUGGUACAGUGCCAGCCACGCAUGCAGGAGACCUUGGAUUCAACACCACCACCAGGAACA